Molecule: ribosomal RNA, 495 nt
Filed under: uncultured bacterium
Lineage: Bacteria
Description: partial 16S ribosomal RNA
Rfam family: Bacterial small subunit ribosomal RNA
Source: RNAcentral
UGACCGCUGGCGGCGUGCCUAAUACAUGCAAGUCGAGCGAACAGACGAGGAGCUUGCUCCUCUGACGUUAGCGGCGGACGGGUGAGUAACACGUGGAUAACCUACCUAUAAGACUGGGAUAACUUCGGGAAACCGGAGCUAAUACCGGAUAAUAUAUUGAACCGCAUGGUUCAAUAGUGAAAGACGGUUUUGCUGUCACUUAUAGAUGGAUCCGCGCCGCAUUAGCUAGUUGGUAAGGUAACGGCUUACCAAGGCAACGAUGCGUAGCCGACCUGAGAGGGUGAUCGGACACACUGGAACUGAGACACGGUACAGACGCCUACGGGAGGCAGCAGUAGGGAAUCUUCCGCAAUGGGCGAAAGCUUGACGGAGCAACGCCGCGUGAGUGAUGAAGGUCUUCGGAUCGUAAAACUCUGUUAUUAGGGAAGAACAAAUGUGUAAGUAACUAUGCACGUCUUGACGGUACCUAAUCAGAAAGCCACGGCUAACUACGUG